GCGUUAUCCGGAAUUACUGGGUGUAAAGGGAGAGUAGGCGGUCAUGAUAAGUUAGAUGUGAAAGCCUUGGGCUUAACCCGAGGAUUGCAUUUAAAACUAUCAAGCUAGAGUACAGGUAGAGGUAAGUGGAAUUCCUAGUGUAGACGGUGAAAUGCGUAGAUAUUAGGAAGAACACCAGUGGCGAAGGCGACUUACUGGACUGAAACUGACGCUGAGGCUCGAAAGCGUGGGGAGC
RNAcentral lists this ribosomal RNA (235 nucleotides) under uncultured bacterium. RNAcentral's name for it is "partial 16S ribosomal RNA". It matches the Rfam family "Bacterial small subunit ribosomal RNA", at positions 538 to 769 of the family's 1533-position model. The record is from RNAcentral.